AUGGGCGCAAGCCUGAUGCAGCGACGCCGCGUGAGGGAUGACGGCCUUCGGGUUGUAAACCUCUUUCAGUAGGGAAGAAGCGAAAGUGACGGUACCUGCAGAAGAAGCGCCGGCUAACUACGUGCCAGCAGCCGCGGUAAUACGUAGGGCGCAAGCGUUAUCCGGAAUUAUUGGGCGUAAAGAGCUCGUAGGCGGUUUGUCGCGUCUGCCGUGAAAGUCCGGGGCUCAACUCCGGAUCUGCGGUGGGUACGGGCAGACUAGAGUGAUGUAGGGGAGACUGGAAUUCCUGGUGUAGCGGUGAAAUGCGCAGAUAUCAGGAGGAACACCGAUGGCGAAGGCAGGUCUCUGGGCAUUAACUGACGCUGAGGAGCGAAAGCAUGGGGAGCGAACAGGAUUAGAUACCCUGGUAGUCCAUGCCGUAAACGUUGGGCACUAGGUGUGGGGGACAUUCCACGUUUUCCGCGCCGUAGCUAACGCAUUAAGUGCCCCGCCUGGGGAGUACGGCCGCAAGGCUAAAACUCAAAGGAAUUGACGGGG
This 537-nucleotide ribosomal RNA is filed under the name Pseudarthrobacter phenanthrenivorans. Its description in RNAcentral is "bacterial SSU rRNA". It matches the Rfam family "Bacterial small subunit ribosomal RNA", at positions 371 to 918 of the family's 1533-position model. Lineage: Bacteria; Bacillati; Actinomycetota; Actinomycetes; Micrococcales; Micrococcaceae. The record is from RNAcentral.